RNAcentral lists this long non-coding RNA (430 nucleotides) under Fukomys damarensis (Damara mole-rat). Its description in RNAcentral is "lncRNA (ENSFDAG00000029676.1)". The record is from RNAcentral. Lineage: Eukaryota; Metazoa; Chordata; Mammalia; Rodentia; Bathyergidae.
CCCCGCCUCCCGGCACUGAUGAGCUCGCUAUUGGACGAAUCCACUGAUGAGUCCACACCGCUGCCAUUAUCCAGUCACCUCCGAAAGCCCCACCUCUGAGUGUGGGAAAGUUCUGGAGGCAUUUGAGAUCUAAACAGUAACGUGCUCUUCGAUAACUUCUCCUUGUGCAAACUUCAUGGUGGCUGUCAUGCAGGUAUCAAGGUCCUCUACUCAGCAGGCACUUCAUGGAGCUCCCCAGAUGUGUGAUCCUGUAUCUCAAUUUGACCCUGUUUCCAUCCUUAGUGGGAAGGUGAACUGCAUUCACAUAUGACCCAGCUCUUCCCAAUAGAUAUCUUCCCAAUAGGGUUAAAGUCAUCAUACCACAGUGAUACAUGAAUAUCCAUGUUUACAGAAGCACAUUUUAAAACAGUUAAGUCUUAGAAACAGCCCA